RNAcentral lists this ribosomal RNA (454 nucleotides) under uncultured bacterium. RNAcentral's name for it is "bacterial SSU rRNA". It matches the Rfam family "Bacterial small subunit ribosomal RNA", at positions 36 to 507 of the family's 1533-position model. The record is from RNAcentral.
CUGGCGGCGUGCUUAACACAUGCAAGUCGAACGAGGAUGUUGACUUCGGUUGACAUUCGAGUGGCGGACGGGUGAGUAACGCGUGAGCAAUCUGUCCUACAGAGGGGGAUAACAACUGGAAACGACUGCUAAUACCGCAUAAGCGCACAGUACUGCAUGGUACAGUGUGAAAAACUCCGGCGGUAUACGAUGGACCCGCGUCUGAUUAGCUAGUUGGUGAGGUAACGGCCCACCAAGGCGACGAUCAGUAGCCGGCCUGAGAGGGUGAACGGCCACAUUGGGACUGAGACACGGCCCAAACUCCUACGGGAGGCAGCAGUGGGGAAUAUUGCACAAUGGGGGAAACCCUGAUGCAGCGACGCCGCGUGAGUGAAGAAGUAUUUCGGUAUGUAAAGCUCUAUCAGCAGGGAAGAAAAUGACGGUACCUGACUAAGAAGCCCCGGCUAACUACGUG